GAUGAACGCUAGCUACAGGCUUAACACAUGCAAGUCGAGGGGCAUCAGGAAGAAAGCUUGCUUUCUUUGCUGGCGACCGGCGCACGGGUGAGUAACACGUAUCCAACCUGCCCUUUACUCGGGGAUAGCCUUUCGAAAGAAAGAUUAAUACCCGAUAGCAUAAUGAUUCCGCAUGGUUUCAUUAUUAAAGGAUUCCGGUAAAGGAUGGGGAUGCGUUCCAUUAGGUUGUUGGUGAGGUAACGGCCCACCAAGCCUUCGAUGGAUAGGGGUUCUGAGAGGAAGGUCCCCCACAUUGGAACUGAGACACGGUCCAAACUCCUACGGGAGGCAGCAGUGAGGAAUAUUGGUCAAUGGGCGCUAGCCUGAACCAGCCAAGUAGCGUGAAGGAUGAAGGCUCUAUGGGUCGUAAACUUCUUUUAUAUAAGAAUAAAGCGCAGUAUGUAUACUGUUUUGUAUGAAUUAUAUGAAUAAGGAUCGGCUAACUCCCGUGCCACCAGCCGCGGUAAUACGGAGGAUCCGAGCGUUAUCCGGAUUUAUUGGGUUUAAAGGGAGCGUAGGUGGACUGGUAAGUCAGUUGUGAAAGUUUGCGGCUCAACCGUAAAAUUGCAGUUGAUACUGUCAGUCUUGAGUACAGUAGAGGUGGGCGGAAUUCGUGGUGUAGCGGUGAAAUGCUUAGAUAUCACGAAGAACUCCGAUUGCGAAGGCAGCUCACUGGACUGCAACUGACACUGAUGCUCGAAAGUGUGGGUAUCAAACAGGAUUAGAUACCCUGGUAGUCCACACAGUAAACGAUGAAUACUCGCUGUUUGCGAUAUACAGUAAGCGGCCAAGCGAAAGCAUUAAGUAUUCCACCUGGGGAGUACGCCGGCAACGGUGAAACUCAAAGGAAUUGACGGGGGCCCGCACAAGCGGAGGAACAUGUGGUUUAAUUCGAUGAUACGCGAGGAACCUUACCCGGGCUUAAAUUGCAGUGGAAUGAUGUGGAAACAUGUCAGUGAGCGAUCACCGCUGUGAAGGUGCUGCAUGGUUGUCGUCAGCUCGUGCCGUGAGGUGUCGGCUUAAGUGCCAUAACGAGCGCAACCCUUAUCUUCAGUUACUAACAGGUCAUGCUGAGGACUCUGGAGAGACUGCCGUCGUAAGAUGUGAGGAAGGUGGGGAUGACGUCAAAUCAGCACGGCCCUUACGUCCGGGGCUACACACGUGUUACAAUGGGGGGUACAGAAGGCAGCUAGCGGGUGACCGUAUGCUAAUCCCAAAAUCCUCUCUCAGUUCGGAUCGAAGUCUGCAACCCGACUUCGUGAAGCUGGAUUCGCUAGUAAUCGCGCAUCAGCCACGGCGCGGUGAAUACGUUCCCGGGCCUUGUACACACCGCCCGUCAAGCCAUGGGAGCCGGGGGUACCUGAAGUACGUAACCGCAAGGAUCGUCCUAGGGUAAAACUGGUGACUGGGGC
This 1451-nucleotide ribosomal RNA is filed under the name uncultured bacterium. RNAcentral's name for it is "bacterial SSU rRNA". It matches the Rfam family "Bacterial small subunit ribosomal RNA". The record is from RNAcentral.